RNAcentral lists this ribosomal RNA (244 nucleotides) under uncultured Staphylococcus sp. RNAcentral describes it as "partial 16S ribosomal RNA". It matches the Rfam family "Bacterial small subunit ribosomal RNA", at positions 96 to 334 of the family's 1533-position model. Lineage: Bacteria; Bacillati; Bacillota; Bacilli; Caryophanales; Staphylococcaceae. The record is from RNAcentral.
CGGCGGACGGGUGAGUAACACGUGGAUAACCUACCUAUAAUACUGGGAUAACUUCGGGAAACCGGAGCUAAUACCGGAUAAUAUAUUGAACCGCAUGGUUCAAUAGUGAAAGACGGUUUUGCUGUCACUUAUAGAUGGAUCCGCGCCGCAUUAGCUAGUUGGUAAGGUAACGGCUUACCAAGGCAACGAUGCGUAGCCGACCUGAGAGGGUGAUCGGCCACACUGGAACUGAGACACGGUCCAG